GGUUAAGCGACUAAGCGUACACGGUGGAUGCCCUGGCAGUCAGAGGCGAUGAAGGGCGUGCUAAUCUGCGAUAAGCGCCGGUAAGGUGAUAUGAACCGUUAUAACCGGCGAUACCCGAAUGGGGAAACCCAGUGUGAUUCGUCACACUAUCAUUAACUGAAUCCAUAGGUUAAUGAGGCGAACCGGGGGAACUGAAACAUCUAAGUACCCCGAGGAAAAGAAAUCAACCGAGAUUCCCCCAGUAGCGGCGAGCGAACGGGGAGGAGCCCAGAGCCUGAAUCAGCAUGUGUGUUAGUGGAAGCGUCUGGAAAGGCGCGCGAUACAGGGUGACAGCCCCGUACACAAAAGCGCAUGUGCUGUGAGCUCGAUGAGUAGGGCGGGACACGUGGUAUCCUGUCUGAAUAUGGGGGGACCAUCCUCCAAGGCUAAAUACUCCUGACUGACCGAUAGUGAACCAGUACCGUGAGGGAAAGGCGAAAAGAACCCCGGCGAGGGGAGUGAAAAAGAACCUGAAACCGUGUACGUACAAGCAGUGGGAGCACAGGUUUACCUGUGUGACUGCGUACCUUUUGUAUAAUGGGUCAGCGACUUAUAUUCUGUAGCAAGGUUAACCGAAUAGGGGAGCCGGAGGGAAACCGAGUCUUAAUUGGGCGUUAAGUUGCAGGGUAUAGACCCGAAACCCGGUGAUCUAGCCAUGGGCAGGUUGAAGGUUGGGUAACACUAACUGGAGGACCGAACCGACUAAUGUUGAAAAAUUAGCGGAUGACCUGUGGCUGGGGGUGAAAGGCCAAUCAAACCGGGAGAUAGCUGGUUCUCCCCGAAAGCUAUUUAGGUAGCGCCUCGUGAAUUCAUCUCCGGGGGUAGAGCACUGUUUCGGCUAGGGGGCCAUCCCGGCUUACCAACCCGAUGCAAACUGCGAAUACCGGAGAAUGUUAUCACGGGAGACACACGGCGGGUGCUAACGUCCGUCGUGAAGAGGGAAACAACCCAGACCGCCAGCUAAGGUCCCAAAGUCAUGGUUAAGUGGGAAACGAUGUGGGAAGGCCCAGACAGCCAGGAUGUUGGCUUAGAAGCAGCCAUCAUUUAAAGAAAGCGUAAUAGCUCACUGGUCGAGUCGGCCUGCGCGGAAGAUGUAACGGGGCUAAACCAUGCACCGAAGCUGCGGCAGCGACACUGUGUGUUGUUGGGUAGGGGAGCGUUCUGUAAGCCUGUGAAGGUGGCCUGUGAGGGUUGCUGGAGGUAUCAGAAGUGCGAAUGCUGACAUAAGUAACGAUAAAGCGGGUGAAAAGCCCGCUCGCCGGAAGACCAAGGGUUCCUGUCCAACGUUAAUCGGGGCAGGGUGAGUCGACCCCUAAGGCGAGGCCGAAAGGCGUAGUCGAUGGGAAACGGGUUAAUAUUCCCGUACUUGGUGUUACUGCGAAGGGGGGACGGAGAAGGCUAUGUUGGCCGGGCGACGGUUGUCCCGGUUUAAGCGUGUAGGUGUGUGUUCCAGGUAAAUCCGGUUCACUUUAACACUGAGGCGUGACGACGAGGCACUACGGUGCUGAAGCAACAAAUGCCCUGCUUCCAGGAAAAGCCUCUAAGCAUCAGGUAACAUCAAAUCGUACCCCAAACCGACACAGGUGGUCAGGUAGAGAAUACCAAGGCGCUUGAGAGAACUCGGGUGAAGGAACUAGGCAAAAUGGUGCCGUAACUUCGGGAGAAGGCACGCUGACACGUAGGUGAAGUGAUUUACUCACGGAGCUGAAGUCAGUCGAAGAUACCAGCUGGCUGCAACUGUUUAUUAAAAACACAGCACUGUGCAAACACGAAAGUGGACGUAUACGGUGUGACGCCUGCCCGGUGCCGGAAGGUUAAUUGAUGGGGUCAGCGCAAGCGAAGCUCCUGAUCGAAGCCCCGGUAAACGGCGGCCGUAACUAUAACGGUCCUAAGGUAGCGAAAUUCCUUGUCGGGUAAGUUCCGACCUGCACGAAUGGCGUAAUGAUGGCCAGGCUGUCUCCACCCGAGACUCAGUGAAAUUGAACUCGCUGUGAAGAUGCAGUGUACCCGCGGCAAGACGGAAAGACCCCGUGAACCUUUACUAUAGCUUGACACUGAACAUUGAGCCUUGAUGUGUAGGAUAGGUGGGAGGCUUUGAAGUGUGGACGCCAGUCUGCAUGGAGCCGACCUUGAAAUACCACCCUUUAAUGUUUGAUGUUCUAACGUGGACCCGUAAUCCGGGUUGCGGACAGUGUCUGGUGGGUAGUUUGACUGGGGCGGUCUCCUCCUAAAGAGUAACGGAGGAGCACGAAGGUUGGCUAAUCCUGGUCGGACAUCAGGAGGUUAGUGCAAUGGCAUAAGCCAGCUUGACUGCGAGCGUGACGGCGCGAGCAGGUGCGAAAGCAGGUCAUAGUGAUCCGGUGGUUCUGAAUGGAAGGGCCAUCGCUCAACGGAUAAAAGGUACUCCGGGGAUAACAGGCUGAUACCGCCCAAGAGUUCAUAUCGACGGCGGUGUUUGGCACCUCGAUGUCGGCUCAUCACAUCCUGGGGCUGAAGUAGGUCCCAAGGGUAUGGCUGUUCGCCAUUUAAAGUGGUACGCGAGCUGGGUUUAGAACGUCGUGAGACAGUUCGGUCCCUAUCUGCCGUGGGCGCUGGAGAACUGAGGGGGGCUGCUCCUAGUACGAGAGGACCGGAGUGGACGCAUCACUGGUGUUCGGGUUGUCAUGCCAAUGGCACUGCCCGGUAGCUAAAUGCGGAAGAGAUAAGUGCUGAAAGCAUCUAAGCACGAAACUUGCCCCGAGAUGAGUUCUCCCUGAGACUUAGAGUCUCCUGAAGGAACGUUGAAGACGACGACGUUGAUAGGCCGGGUGUGUAAGCGCAGCGAUGCGUUGAGCUAACCGGUACUAAUGAACCGUGAGGCUUAACCUU
RNAcentral lists this ribosomal RNA (2907 nucleotides) under Salmonella enterica subsp. enterica serovar Newport. RNAcentral's name for it is "23S ribosomal RNA". It matches the Rfam family "Bacterial large subunit ribosomal RNA". Lineage: Bacteria; Pseudomonadati; Pseudomonadota; Gammaproteobacteria; Enterobacterales; Enterobacteriaceae. The record is from RNAcentral.